AAACUUACCUGGCAGGAGAGACACCAUGAUCAUGAAAAUAGUUUUCCCAGGAUGCAGCUUAUCCAUUACACUCUAUAUGUGCUGACCCCUGCAGUUUCCCCAAAUGUGGGAAACUCAACUGCAGAAUUUGUGGUAAUGGAGACUGCAUUUGUGCUAUCCCCUA
RNAcentral lists this small nuclear RNA (163 nucleotides) under Dasypus novemcinctus (nine-banded armadillo). RNAcentral describes it as "U1 spliceosomal RNA (ENSDNOG00000037359.1)". It matches the Rfam family "U1 spliceosomal RNA". Rfam says of the family: U1 is a small nuclear RNA (snRNA) component of the spliceosome (involved in pre-mRNA splicing). Its 5' end forms complementary base pairs with the 5' splice junction, thus defining the 5' donor site of an intron. The record is from RNAcentral. Lineage: Eukaryota; Metazoa; Chordata; Mammalia; Cingulata; Dasypodidae.